Molecule: long non-coding RNA, 686 nt
Organism: Armigeres subalbatus
Lineage: Eukaryota; Metazoa; Arthropoda; Insecta; Diptera; Culicidae
Exons: 3
Source: RefSeq, a predicted model, not a curated record
AAUGACUCACGAUCCUCGAGAGUGGCAUUCAGACUCAAACGGUGGCGACAAAUACGUUGGUCACACCAAGUGUUUGCCAAUCGAAAAGUUCACAGAAAGGUUCGCUACCGGUACUGAAUUCCUUGGUCUCUGUCGCAUUCGAGAACGAGAAGAGCCUUCCCAGGAAGGCUCUUCUUUUGUCUUUUUUUUUUUGCAGUUUGAGUGUACUGCGUGAAGACCGGGAUCAACCAACCCCCUGUGUGGCAGAAGCCGCAAAACGAACACUCCGAAAGACGGACCGAGAAGAAGCGCCGGCGGGAUCGCGCUCAAGACGCGGAUCUGAAUGAUUCAGAAUCGCGGGAACCACGGAACGGAAAGGAAAAGACGGUGACAGUGAAUCUGACCCCGUGAGGAUCUGGCAGUCGUGACGUGGCCAGCCCGAAUCCCCUUUCCAGCGGACAGCGAUCAAGGUGCACAUCGAUCACCUACUUCUUGAGGAGAGCAAAGGUCAUUGAAUCCCACGCGACGGGAACUGUUCUUGCUGUUGGCAGGCGGGAGGUAGAGACGGGAGCGGCGGACGUGAGUUAUAACACUAAGAAGAUGAGAAGGGAAGAAGAAAGAAGAAGAAGAGCAUGCACAGUGAGCAGGAGAAUAAGGAAGUAGAAGAGGAAUGAGGUAUCGUAUGGAUGGGUUAAAAUAAAAAUAUG